This 345-nucleotide unclassified non-coding RNA is filed under the name soil metagenome. RNAcentral describes it as "partial contains 5.8S ribosomal RNA, internal transcribed spacer 2, and large subunit ribosomal RNA". The stretch from base 1 to 120 matches the Rfam family "5.8S ribosomal RNA", at positions 35 to 154 of the family's 154-position model. The record is from RNAcentral.
GAUGAAGAACGUAGCGAAAUGCGAUACGUAAUUUGAAUUGCAGAAUUCAGUGAAUCAUCGAGUCUUUGAACGCACAUUGCGCCCCCUGGUAUUCCGGGGGGCAUGCCUGUCCGAGCGUCAUUGCUGCCCUCAAGCACGGCUUGUGUGUUGGGCCUCCGUCCUCCUCCCGGGGGACGGGCCCGAAAGGCAGCGGCGGCACCGCGUCCGGUCCUCGAGCGUAUGGGGCUUCGUCACCCGCUCUUGUAGGCCCGGCCGGCGCUUGCCGACACAUCAAUCUUUUUUCCAGGUUGACCUCGGAUCAGGUAGGGAUACCCGCUGAACUUAAGCAUAUCAAUAAGCGGAGGA